Molecule: ribosomal RNA, 320 nt
Filed under: uncultured bacterium
Lineage: Bacteria
Description: bacterial SSU rRNA
Rfam family: Bacterial small subunit ribosomal RNA
Source: RNAcentral
GUGAGGUAAUGGAUCAACAAGGUUACAAUCAAUAGCUGGCCUGAGAGGAGGACCACCCGCGCUGGGACUGAGACACGGCCCAGACUCCUAUGGGAGGCAGUCUGGGGAAUAUUGGACAAUGGGCGAAUUGGCGAUCCGGCCAUGCCGCGUGAGGGAUGAACGCCUUAGGGUUGUAAAGCUCUUUUACCCCCUUUAGAUAAUGACUGUACCGGGAGAAUAAGCCGCGGCUAGGUUCGUGCCAGCAGCCGGGAAAAUACGUACGGGGCUAGUAUUCUUCGGAAUUUCUGCCUGUAAAACGCACGUCCGCGGAUUUUUAAGUC